AAAAACAAGAAUAAAAGCAAUCUUUUCAUCUGCAUAACGAUUGUCUUGUUUGAUUUUCAAAAGCUUUUCAUAUCAAAAUCAUUAUGCAGGUUGUUUCUCAAACCCAUUGAACAUAGUGAUCGGACGUCAUCUCCCAAUUUUGAAUUCCCUGUAUUCGAAGCAGACGAAGAUGAUGUUGAAGGGAUUCCUGACGAGAUUUCCCGACUUCUUGCGCAAGAAAAGAAGAUCACUCAGCUGCAUCUCGAGAAUCAGCAGAACAGCCAACUGGGGCAUCAAAAAAAAUAUAAAUGAAAAAAAGUAAAAAAGAAAAAGAAGGAGGAGGGUGCAAAACCAAAU
RNAcentral lists this long non-coding RNA (336 nucleotides) under Lathyrus oleraceus (garden pea). RNAcentral's name for it is "Pisum sativum (pea) long non-coding RNA (PSAT_LNC029833)". The record is from RNAcentral. Lineage: Eukaryota; Viridiplantae; Streptophyta; Magnoliopsida; Fabales; Fabaceae.